CAGUCGCCGCGGUAAUACGAAGGGUGCAAGUGUUAAUCGGAAUUACUGGGCGUAAAGCGCGCGUAGGUGGUUUGGUAAGAUGGAUGUGAAAUCCCCGGGCUCAACCUGGGAACUGCAUCCAUAACUGCCUGACUAGAGUACGGUAGAGGGUGGUGGAAUUUCCUGUGUAGCGGUGAAAUGCGUAGAUAUAGGAAGGAACACCAGUGGCGAAGGCGACCACCUGGACUGAUACUGACACUGAGGUGCGAAAGCGUGGGGAGCAAACAGGAUUAGAUACCCCAGUAGUCCCUGUCUCUUAUAC
RNAcentral lists this ribosomal RNA (301 nucleotides) under uncultured bacterium. RNAcentral's name for it is "partial 16S ribosomal RNA". It matches the Rfam family "Bacterial small subunit ribosomal RNA", at positions 509 to 807 of the family's 1533-position model. The record is from RNAcentral.